Molecule: small RNA, 174 nt
Filed under: Gopherus agassizii (Agassiz's desert tortoise)
Lineage: Eukaryota; Metazoa; Chordata; Testudines; Testudinidae
Description: TUC338 (ENSGAGG00000011377.1)
Source: RNAcentral
UUGAGUGAGCUGAAGACUGGAGACCUCUAUUUGUCCAUAGAGCAGGUACAGCAUUGCACUAGUAGUGUACACAGCUUCCUACUACCCCACCCAUCUACCUCAAUCCUCAGCUGGAGGAACUACCUCUGGGACUAAAAGGGACGCCCAUUUUUCAAAAGUUAGACUCCAGCGGUA